This 971-nucleotide ribosomal RNA is filed under the name Parmotrema haitiense. Its description in RNAcentral is "eukaryotic LSU rRNA". It matches the Rfam family "Eukaryotic large subunit ribosomal RNA", at positions 71 to 942 of the family's 3401-position model. The record is from RNAcentral. Lineage: Eukaryota; Fungi; Ascomycota; Lecanoromycetes; Lecanorales; Parmeliaceae.
GGGAUUGCCUCAGUAACGGCGAGUGAAGCGGCAACAGCUCAAAUUUGAAAUCUGGCCCCUUCGGGGUCCGAGUUGUAAUUUGUAGAGAGUGUUUCGGGGGGGACCGCGGUCUAAGUCCAUUGGAACAUGGUGUCAUAGAGGGUGAGAAUCCCGUAUGUGACCGCGGAUCGAACCCAUGUGAAGCCUCUUCGACGAGUCGAGUUGUUUGGGAAUGCAGCUCAAAAUGGGUGGUAAAUUUCAUCUAAAGCUAAAUACUGGCUGGAGACCGAUAGCGCACAAGUAGAGUGAUCGAAAGAUGAAAAGCACUUUGGAAAGAGAGUUAAACAGCACGUGAAAUUGUUGAAAGGGAAGCGCUUGCAACCAGACCUGCCCGUAGGCGAUCAGCCCCUGUUCUCAGCGGUGCACUCGCUCUGCGAUCAGGCCAGCAUCGGUUUCGGCGGUCGGAUAAAAGCCUUGGGAAUGUAGCUUCCUUUCGGGGGAGUCUUAUAGCCCUCGGUGCAAUGCGGCCAGCCGGGACCGAGGACCGCGCUUCGGCUAGGAUGCUGGCGUAAUGGUUUUAAGCGACCCGUCUUGAAACACGGACCAAGGAGUCUAACAUCUAUGCGAGUGUUUGGGUGUCAAACCCAUGCGCGGAAUGAAAGUGAACGGAGGUGAGAACCCUUAAGGGCGCAUCAUCGACCGAUCCAGAUGUCUUCGGAUGGAUUUGAGUAUGAGCAUAGCUGUUGGGACCCGAAAGGUAUGCUCAAAACCCCCGGGGUUCUUGCAAGUAGAGAUCAAAGCUAACAUAUUCAAUAGAUGGUGAACUAUGCCUGAAUAGGGUGAAGCCAGAGGAAACUCUGGUGGAGGCUCGCAGCGGUUCUGACGUGCAAAUCGAUCGUCAAAUUUGGGUAUAGGGGCGAAAGUACGUAUCGUUAGCGCUAAAGAUACCUGAUUUCAAUGCUAACUGAAUUUUUUUAGGACUAAUCGAACCA